UGCCAGCCGCCGCGGUAAUACGUAGGUGGCGAGCGUUAUUCGGAUUUAUUGGGCGUAAAGGGUCCGCAGAGGGUUUAUUAAGUCUGACGUGAAAGCCCGCGGCUCAACCGCGGAAUUGCAUUGGAAACUGAUAGACUAGAGCAUAGGAGAGGUGAGCGGAAUUCCUGGUGUAGCGGUGGAAUGCGUAGAUAUCAGGAGGAACACCGAAGGCGAAGGCAGCUCACUGGACUAUUGCUGACCCUCAGGGACGAAGGCUAGGGGAGCGAACAGGAUUAGAUA
RNAcentral lists this ribosomal RNA (279 nucleotides) under uncultured bacterium. RNAcentral describes it as "partial 16S ribosomal RNA". It matches the Rfam family "Bacterial small subunit ribosomal RNA", at positions 506 to 784 of the family's 1533-position model. The record is from RNAcentral.